GACGAACGCUGGCGGCGUGCUUAACACAUGCGAGUCGAACGGAAAGGCCCUGCUUUUGUGGGGUGCUCGAGUGGCGAACGGGUGAGUAACACGUGAGUAACCUGCCCUUGACUUUGGGAUAACUUCAGGAAACUGGGGCUAAUACCGGAUAGGAGCUCCUGCUGCAUGGUGGGGGUUGGAAAGUUUCGGCGGUUGGGGAUGGACUCGCGGCUUAUCAGCUUGUUGGUGGGGUAGUGGCUUACCAAGGCUUUGACGGGUAGCCGGCCUGAGAGGGUGACCGGCCACAUUGGGACUGAGAUACGGCCCAGACUCCUACGGGAGGUAGCAGUGGGGGAUAUUGCACAAUGGGCGGAAGCCUGAUGCAGCAACGCCGCGUGCGGGAUGACGGCCUUCGGGUUGUAAACCGCUUUCGCCUGUGACGAAGCGUGAGUGACGGUAAUGGGUAAAGAAGCACCGGCUAACUACGUG
Molecule: ribosomal RNA, 468 nt
Filed under: uncultured bacterium
Lineage: Bacteria
Description: partial 16S ribosomal RNA
Rfam family: Bacterial small subunit ribosomal RNA
Source: RNAcentral